RNAcentral lists this ribosomal RNA (421 nucleotides) under uncultured bacterium. RNAcentral's name for it is "bacterial SSU rRNA". It matches the Rfam family "Bacterial small subunit ribosomal RNA", at positions 358 to 772 of the family's 1533-position model. The record is from RNAcentral.
AGAAUUUUUCUCAAUGGGGGAAACCCUGAAGGAGCGACGCCGCGUGGAGGAUGAAGGUCUUCGGGUUGUAAACUCCUGUCAUUUGGGAACAAGUUGGACGCCGUAACUGCGCGUCCAUUGAUAGUACCAGACGAGGAAGAGACGGAUAACUCUGUGCCAGCAGCCGCGGUAAUACAGAGGUCUCAAGCGUUGUUCGGAUUCAUUGGGCGUAAAGGGUGCGUAGGUGGCGCCGUAAGUCAGGUGUGAAAUUUCGGAGCUUAACUCCGAAACUGCAUUUGAUACUGCGGUGCUUGAGGACUGGAGAGGAGACUGGAAUUUACGGUGUAGCAGUGAAAUGCGUAGAGAUCGUAAGGAAGACCAGUGGCGAAGGCGGGUCUCUGGACAGUUCCUGACACUGAGGCACGAAGGCCAGGGGAGCAAA